This is a long non-coding RNA of Peromyscus maniculatus bairdii (prairie deer mouse), 1998 nucleotides long. RefSeq lists it as uncharacterized. NCBI's taxonomy places the organism in Eukaryota, Metazoa, Chordata, Mammalia, Rodentia, Cricetidae. The record is from RefSeq and is a predicted model, not a curated record.
GAUCCCCUUGGGAGGGAAGUUGAAUCCUUCAGUCCAGGCCCUAGCUGGAUUGGCUCUGGUGAGCCGGAUGGGGCUGUGACCUGGGUCGGGUCAUAAAGCUGUGACCCUGGGUCAUCUGGGCUGUGCUUUGAUGAUCUGUCACCACAUCAGCCAAGGCCCAGGGAGCUACUGCUGAGGGCCAGAGACGUAAUCUGCCAGGUCCACACCCUAGAUCUUUCACUAGUAUUUACCAGAGGGAAGAAAGACAUCAGAAAGCCCCAGUGACCAUGGUUCUUUCCAGGCACUUGUGGGGAGGGAUGAACAUGUUUAAUGAGCAGAGAUGUAUCCAGGCCAUGUAGUUAUUUGAAGACAGGAGUUGGAUACGGCCCCUCUGGGUUUAGAUCUUUAGUCAGAAGAUGAAGAGUAGGAAAUUUUGGACAGACAGCUCUGCUUUCCUGUCUCCCUGGGUUGACCCUGAACUUGGUUCUACCCUGCUUCUCGGAGGGUCCGGGGGCAUCAAGCCCCUUGGCCUCAGAGGUAACCCACUCAUUGUUAUCCCUAUUGCCUUUGCUUCCUUCCCUGACCUGAUUCACUCAUGCUUUCUGAGAUUCCUCCCUCCUUCCCCAAGUAAGCCCACUGUACCCCAGAUCUCUUUAUGGGGUCUGCUUUGGGGAGUCUGAAUCAAGACUUGGCCUUAAUGACUUGGAUCUGCUGUUUAGUCCCAGGUCCCACCAGGCCACCCCUCAGUCAGUUUAUUUAAAAUCCCCAAGUAACAUCUUGCUGUUGUUCUUGGGAGGCAGAGUCUCACUCUGUCCUAAGUCUUGCUAUGGGGACCAGCAGGCCUACAACUUGUGGCAAUUCUCCUGUCUCUGCUUCUCACAGACCUUCAAAGUCAUUUGUCCCUGGUCUGAGUGGCUGCGAGGACACCAUGAAAUGAGACCUUUUUUGCUAAGGCAGGGUAUGGAGCCAUCUAUUGAUCUGCUUUUGAGUGUGAACAGAGGUUUCCCUGGAGGGCUUCUCUCUGCCUCCAAAGUCACCUAGGUGGGUGGAGCAUAUGUACAGUGGUUGCAGGUGUUGGCAUGUGAAGCCCAGAAACAGGGAUACUCUUAGGGGUAGGAAAGGAGACCCCCUUGCCUGUGUCUGGUAGAUGCUCAUGCAGAACAAAGGCUGUUUCCAAGGACAGAGGGCGCAUGCCCAAAGCUGUCCUGAUGGACAGCCCUCCUUGAGGGAUGUCCUGAACUUGCUCCAUGAGGUCCAGUGAUUGGAGUCAUGGAAGGACAGGAAAAAGCCAAGUGAGCAGAGGGGUUCAGAGCCAGAACUGUGGAGUCAGGCUGCCUGGAUCCUGGCCCCACCCCUUCCUAUGUGGGUGACAUUUGAGCAGUUCCUUGGCAUCCCUGGGUCUCAGUGUCUGCAUCUGAAGCUUGGGGAACCCUCACAGGCUUAUGCUACCAAGAUGGCAGCUCAUGACAACCGUCCCUGGACAGGGGAGAUGUACUCCACCACAUGCAGCAGAAGAUAGCUUCCGAAAGACCGAUAUACAUUGGGUAAGAUGAAGGAGGUCUCCCCUGAUUGCUUCGCUGCCAGAUGUCCUUGGAAUUUCAGCUCUGAGGAGCUCACUGGAAGGACUGGAGACUGAAAGAUUUUUGCCCACAGCCCUUCCUCAUUCUUUACAAAGGGAUUCACGCAGCGAUCACUGGUCAAGAGAACAGGCAUGGGGUGGGGCUAGUGAAGUUGGAACCCUGGGUUCUUCUUCUUGUUCACCCCAUGAUGUGGAGCGCACUAUAGGACAAUUAGGAAAUCCAGUCUCUGCAGGAGGAAAGCAUGGAGAUGUAAUAAAUACGUUUACCUACAUUGGCCUGGGACCGCAGCUCUCCAUCUAGAUGCUGCAGCAGGGCCAGGUUUGACUCAAGCGUGGAUGACCAUCACUCGAUUUGCUGUAGUCAUAUGGGUUCUGGGACAAGAUUGCCUGCGUUGAAAUCUCAGCUCUCUCUCGUAUUUGAAUCCAGAUAAACAGCUUAA